Molecule: ribosomal RNA, 450 nt
Filed under: Streptococcus mitis
Lineage: Bacteria; Bacillati; Bacillota; Bacilli; Lactobacillales; Streptococcaceae
Description: bacterial SSU rRNA
Rfam family: Bacterial small subunit ribosomal RNA
Source: RNAcentral
GACGAACGUUGGCGGCGUGCCUAAUACAUGCAAGUAGAACGCUGAAGGAGGAGCUUGCUUCUCUGGAUGAGUUGCGAACGGGUGAGUAACGCGUAGGUAACCUGCCUGGUAGCGGGGGAUAACUAUUGGAAACGAUAGCUAAUACCGCAUAAUAGCAGUUAUUGCAUGAUAACUGUUUAAAAGGUGCAAUUGCAUCACUACCAGAUGGACCUGCGUUGUAUUAGCUAGUUGGUGGGGUAACGGCUCACCAAGGCGACGAUACAUAGCCGACCUGAGAGGGUGAUCGGCCACACUGGGACUGAGACACGGCCCAGACUCCUACGGGAGGCAGCAGUAGGGAAUCUUCGGCAAUGGACGGAAGUCUGACCGAGCAACGCCGCGUGAGUGAAGAAGGUUUUCGGAUCGUAAAGCUCUGUGUAAGAGAAGAACGAGUGUGAGAAGUGGAAAGUU